Molecule: long non-coding RNA, 523 nt
Filed under: Capsella rubella
Lineage: Eukaryota; Viridiplantae; Streptophyta; Magnoliopsida; Brassicales; Brassicaceae
Description: long non-coding RNA (CRUB_LNC002107)
Source: RNAcentral
UUUGGGUUGAUUUGGUUCUAUCUUUUUGUAGGGUAUAGUAAUUGUUAUUAAGUAUGAAUUGUAUUAAUUUUUUAUAUUUUUUUAAAGUUUUUUUUGAAUUGUAAAACAUGGCUAUUUGAAAGAAAAUUUGGGAAAAUAGCAAAAUCAAAAAAUGGUGAGCCAAAAAUGAAUCCCAUAAAUUAAAGAAUCGCACAAAGUUUUUUUUUCUUUUUUCUUUCAGUUACACAUGUUAUUUAAAAGUUCAAACAUAUCAAAGGAAGACAAUAUUUUUUAAACAGCAUGCAAUACAUACACCAUAGUUAAAAAAAACAAAAAAAAAACACAUACCAUAGUCACAGUGAUCCUCUUUUGUUUUGUUAGGAUUUACCGUUUUCUAGUAUAACGUCAUUAGGAAGCACGCGAUGAUGGCCAAUGACAUGAACUCCGUUAAACAACAAGUAGGAUUAUCUGCUUUUUGCCAAAUAUUACAAAAAUGGUGAUGUAUGCAAAUGCAAGAUGAAUUAUUAUUCCAAUGCCAUUUACG